Long non-coding RNA from Notothenia coriiceps (black rockcod), 576 nucleotides. RefSeq lists it as uncharacterized. The record is from RefSeq and is a predicted model, not a curated record. NCBI's taxonomy places the organism in Eukaryota, Metazoa, Chordata, Actinopteri, Perciformes, Nototheniidae. The transcript is spliced from 4 exons.
CAGGCAAAUCUGAGGACACCUUUGUCACUGGAGCUAGCCACUUGUUACACCUGCAGGCAAUGAACUGAUUGGCACUUCCUUGUUUGUGACAGCGUGAAAGACUGAGCCCUGAAGCUAGAUGCAUGAUGGGAAAUGCAAUGAGCUGCUUGUCAGGGAAGAGACAAUUCACGGGAGAGGACCCGCGAAAGCUGUAUACAUUCCCAAUUUACUCACAUCUCUGCGGUUUUUAAGGGGGAAAGAAUGGGAUGAAAUAUUUUUAAACGGUAAUUACCUGGCUGGGAUCCGACAUGCAGGGAUUAAUGGAGUUUGAAAAGACCAGACAAAGCUGCUGAACAGAAGGAAAUCAAAGCGCAUUUGGUUGGACCGUUAAGACGUGUGAAAUUUUCUCGCCUCUCAUUUGAACAGAGUCCAGGAGAAGUUUCAAGGUUGCUGAAUUCUUCCUUAAAUCAACGAAGCAACUGCUCAGUGGUUAUUAUAUAUCAGUUGCCGAAAUUCUGAGAAACGUUUGAUGGAAAAAAACGUCAUAUGAUAUUUAGGCUGUUUUAUACAGCAUUUUAAAGUUCAACAUGUGUUCCU